This is a non-coding RNA of Oryza sativa Japonica Group (Japanese rice), 1786 nucleotides long. NCBI's taxonomy places the organism in Eukaryota, Viridiplantae, Streptophyta, Magnoliopsida, Poales, Poaceae. The record is from RefSeq and is a predicted model, not a curated record.
CCCUUCUCCUCACUCUUUCUCUUCCUCUCUCUCACUCUCUCUCCUCUCCCUCUUUCUAUUCCUCUUCCGGCGACGAGCACGAGUGGGCGGCGUGCGCGUGCCGGCAGCUGGCGGCCGCCGCAUCGUCCCCGUCGCUCGGGCUGCCCCCUCCGCAGCGGCGCUGACCCCGACGACAACGAGGAGGCGCGACCCCGGCAACGACGACGCCGACCCCGACGACGAGUGGGCGGUGACGCGGGCCUCGUCCCGCCCGGAUCCGGCGGCGGCGGGCCUCGUCACACCCGGAUCCGGCGGCGGCGGGCCUCGUCCCGCCCGGAUCCGGAGGCGGGAGUGGGCGGCGGCGGCGCGGCGGAUCCGGCUCGGGCGCGGCGUCGACGACGGUGGCGGGCGGCAGCGGCGAGGUCGGGCACGGCGGAUCCAGAGCGGUUGCGAGCGGUGGCGGCGAGCUCGGACACGACGACGACCUCGGCGACGACGACGGCGGCGGAUCCGGCUCGGGCGCGGCGACAACGACGGCGGCGGGCGGCGGCUAGCUCGGGCGCGACGACGACCUCGGCAACGACGAAGGCGGCGCACGUCGGCGAGGUUGGGCGCGACGGAUCCAGCGCGGUGGCGGGCGGCGGCGGUGAGCUCGGUUUUGCGAAGAAGGGGGAAAAGAAGAGGAUGAGUAUGUAUUGCUAGAGUUGGAUGAUUGUCUUUAUCUGACAUAAAACCAAAUGCUCCAUAUGUGCUCUCUGUAAGUUGGUCCUCCAUUUUUUUAAUCAGUGGCUUAAUGGUACGGAUGGGCACGCUUUGAGUGUACAAAAUCUGUUUCUCUGAAUGUUUUUAAUCAGUGGCUUAAUGGUACGGAUGGGCACGCUUUGAGUGUACAAAAUCUGUUUCUCUGAAUGUUAGAUUUUAGUUGUGCAUGUAGUUCCCAGAAGUAGCUCUAAGAUUUCCUUUGUAGCAGAACGACCAACAUUAAAAAUGCCAUAUGCGCAUAGAAAUGUAGCAGUGAGCUCUGUGCUGAUUAUCUAGGAGAGCUCUUGCCAUCAGCAUUUAAAAUCGCCUAAUAGAAUUACAGAAGGACAAAGACAUAUAUGUUUCAUUUAUUUUGAAAAUAGGAACUGAACUUAAGCUCAGUUGGUUGACUUGAACUUGGAUGCCUAUUUCUUGUCUAUAAAUUGAUACUGAGAUUCUCCUUGUCAUCCAUCACCUUUUUUAUAUAUAUUUUGAGCAGCCUUUGUUGCUACAAAGUGCUACCAGUGUGUGUUAUGUGGUAGCUUUGGGGAGAAAAUAUAUAGUCUACCAUGUGAUGUGAGAAAAUGGUAUGCCAGCACAUAUUCUGCUUAUUAAUCUUUUUAAUGCCAUGAUUUAUGGACGUGAAAAUAACAAAGUUAAGUUUUUCUCCCACAUCCUUUGAUCACUGAGACGUUGGCUCAUAUCUAUUUCAAAAAGUUUGUUCACUGUCUUUAUCUCAUACUGAACACUACUGAGUUUUUCUUGUCAUGUUUUCCAGGGUAUCUGAUUCCUUCUGGUCGUCCUCGUCUUGAUCCAGAUCAAGCGUGAUCCCAAUCUGCGCGCUUACUUUCUUGGCUUGGAUUGAUUGAUUGAAAAUGUGUGUUUCUCAGGCCGCCUCCUGUUAUUAGGUUGAAUCUGAGAUGAACUAUUAUUUAAAUUCUGUUGUAUUCUGGUUGUAUCUAUUAUUAGUUGAAUCUGAUAUGGUAUCAGUUGUUAGGUUUGAAUCUGAGAUAUAUGAGAAAUUGGAUUGAAUUUGGUGGGCUCAAAUUUAAUGGGCUUAUUUAGU